CUUGGUCAUUUAGAGGAAGUAAAAGUCGUAACAAGGUCUCCGUUGGUGAACCAGCGGAGGGAUCAUUACAGAGUUGCAAAACUCCCAAACCCAAUGUGAACGUUAUCAAACUGUUGCCUCGGCGGGAUCUCUGCCCCGGGUGCGUCGCAGCCCCGGACCAAGGCGCCCGCCGGAGGACCAACCAAAACUCUUAUUGUAUACCCCCUCGCGGGUUUUUUUUAUAAUCUGAGCCUUCUCGGCGCCUCUCGUAGGCGUUUCGAAAAUGAAUCAAAACUUUCAACAACGGAUCUCUUGGUUCUGGCAUCGAUGAAGAACGCAGCGAAAUGCGAUAAGUAAUGUGAAUUGCAGAAUUCAGUGAAUCAUCGAAUCUUUGAACGCACAUUGCGCCCGCCAGUAUUCUGGCGGGCAUGCCUGUCCGAGCGUCAUUUCAACCCUCGAACCCCUCCGGGGGGUCGGCGUUGGGGAUCGGCCCUGCCUUGGCGGUGGCCGUCUCCGAAAUACAGUGGCGGUCUCGCCGCAGCCUCUCCUGCGCAGUAGUUUGCACACUCGCAUCGGGAGCGCGGCGCGUCCACAGCCGUUAAACACCCAACUUCUGAAAUGUUGACCUCGGAUCAGGUAGGAAUACCCGCUGAACUUAAGCAUAUCAAUAAGCGGAGGA
RNAcentral lists this unclassified non-coding RNA (658 nucleotides) under uncultured fungus. Its description in RNAcentral is "sequence contains ITS1, 5.8S rRNA gene and ITS2". The stretch from base 272 to 425 matches the Rfam family "5.8S ribosomal RNA". Lineage: Eukaryota; Fungi. The record is from RNAcentral.